Phlebotomus papatasi is the source of this 110-nucleotide small nuclear RNA. Lineage: Eukaryota; Metazoa; Arthropoda; Insecta; Diptera; Psychodidae. The record is from RefSeq and is a predicted model, not a curated record.
UCGGCAGAACAUACGAGUAUAAUAAAAUUGGAAUGACAUAGAGAAGAUUAGCAUGGCCCUUGCGCAAGGAUGACACAGUGUUAGUAGUAGGGAAUACCUAUGACACUUUU